This 1038-nucleotide long non-coding RNA is filed under the name Marmota monax (woodchuck). The record is from RNAcentral. Lineage: Eukaryota; Metazoa; Chordata; Mammalia; Rodentia; Sciuridae.
CAACAACAAAAAAACCUUCCUAGGCACCCCUGUGUGAACAGGGUGCCCUCAUGGUUUCUAUAUAAAGCAGAGUUUUUAAAAUAAGUUUUUACUUUUAAACCCUUGAGUCUGUGAUGGGCAUGGUCUUGUUUAUUCCUGAGGGCAUCUUUCCUAUUGUCUUUGUGCAAAGAAGUUGGUUUCUCUUUAAUGGUACUAAUAUCUUCAACAACCACAACUUCCUUGGCCCCAUUCUACACGUGUUUUUCUGGCCAGAUGAAUUUCCAAAUCUUUCUGAUCAGUUUUUUCCCCCUGAUUCUUACAGUAAAUCAAGCUACAAGCUUCCAGUAAUAUGCAUGCCACUAUCUGAAUGCUGUACUACCUUGAAAUUUCCUCCACCAGAUUCAUCACUCCAUCGCCUUUAAAUUUAGCUUACCAUAGACCAGUUCAAUUCAAACUCCUCCCACAAACCAAUUCCAAAGGUCCAAAGUCCUGAACAACAUGGUUAGUGUAGUAAUAGCAACAACUCCACUUCUUGUUACCACUAUGUUAGUUAGCUUCUUAUCAUGUUGACCAAAAUACCUGACUAGAACAUCUUAGAGGGGAUAGAUUUAUUUUGGCUCAUGGUUUCAGAGGAUUCAAUCGAUGCUUGGCUGGUUCCCAGAUAGAAGAACAUCGUGGCAGAAGGGCAUAGUAGAGGAGAGAUGCUCAGCUCUUGGAGGCCAUGAAAUGGGAGACAACAUAAACUGUUCCAUGGCAUACCCCUAGUGACCUAAUUCCUCCAACUAGACCCCACUUCACAGUAGUCCAUUCAGCUAUUAGUAAAUGAAUCAAUUUGAUGAGAUAAGAGCCCUCAUGAUCCAAUCAUUACCUAAAAGUCCCACUUCAGAACUGUGCUGUAUUAGCACCAUACUUUCAACACAUAAAUUUUGGGGGGACAAAACCAAUCCAUAACAUGGGAUGAGUAGCGUACUUAGAAUUCUAGCUCAGAUGGCUGAGAUUAGUAUGGCUUCUACAAAGUUAAUUUUUCAGAGCUUCAUAUUAUCCAUAAACAUACAGUAU